RNAcentral lists this ribosomal RNA (503 nucleotides) under uncultured bacterium. RNAcentral describes it as "partial 16S ribosomal RNA". It matches the Rfam family "Bacterial small subunit ribosomal RNA", at positions 29 to 523 of the family's 1533-position model. The record is from RNAcentral.
AACGAACGCUGGCGGCGUGUUUAAGACAUGCAAGUCGCACGGGAUAAGACAUGUAGUAAUACUUGUUUUAUUUAGUGGCGCACGGGUGAGUAACACGUGAAUUACAUGCCCUAUAGUGGGGAAUAGCCCAGGGAAACUUGGAUUAAUACCCCAUGGUAUCGAAAGAUUAAAGGUGGCCGCAAGGCUGUCGCUAUAGGAUUGGUUCGCGCCCUAUCAGCUUGUUGGUGAGGUAACGGCUCACCAAGGCGACGACGGGUACCUGGUCUGAGAGGACGAUCAGGCACACUGGGACUGAGACACGGUCCAGGCACGUGCGGGUGGCAGCAGUCGGGAAUAAUUUACAAUGGUGGCAACCCUGAUGGUGCAACGCCGGGUGGAGGAUGACGGUCUUCGGAUUGUACACUCCUGUUAUCUGGGAGAAAGACCUGACGGUAAAUAGCCGGCAGGGUUGAUAGUACCAGAAGAGGAAGGGACGGCUAACUUCGUGCCAGCCGCCGCGGUAA